CCUACGGGAGGCAGCAGUCGGGAAUUUUGGGCAAUGGGCGAAAGCCUGACCCAGCAACGCCGCGUGAAGGAUGAAAUCCCUCGGGAUGUAAACUUCGCAAGAACAGGAAGAAUAAGUGAGAGUUAAUAUCUCUUACGAUGACGGUACUGUUUGUAAGCUCCGGCUAACUCCGUGCCAGCAGCCGCGGUAAUACGGGGGGAGCAAGCGUUGUUCGGAUUUACUGGGCGUAAAGGGCGCGUAGGCGGCCACCGCAAGUCGACUGUGAAAUCUCCGGGCUUAACCCGGAAAGGUCAGCCGAUACUGCGGGGCUAGAGUGCAGAAGGGGCAACUGGAAUUCUCGGUGUAGCGGUGAAAUGCGUAGAUAUCGAGAGGAACACCUGCGGCGAAGGCGGGUUGCUGGGCUGACACUGACGCUGAAGCGCGAAAGCUAGGGGAGCGAACGGGAUUAGAUACCCCGGUAGUCCUAGCCUUAAACGAUGAAUGCUUGGUGUCUGGGGUUUUAUAGUCCCCGGGUGCCGUCGCUAACGCUUUAAGCAUUCCGCCUGGGGAGUACGGUCGCAAGACUGAAACUCAAAGGAAUUGACGG
Molecule: ribosomal RNA, 586 nt
Filed under: uncultured bacterium
Lineage: Bacteria
Description: bacterial SSU rRNA
Rfam family: Bacterial small subunit ribosomal RNA
Source: RNAcentral